RNAcentral lists this ribosomal RNA (443 nucleotides) under uncultured bacterium. RNAcentral's name for it is "partial 16S ribosomal RNA". It matches the Rfam family "Bacterial small subunit ribosomal RNA", at positions 338 to 795 of the family's 1533-position model. The record is from RNAcentral.
CCUACGGGUGGCAGCAGUGGGGAAUAUUGCACAAUGGGCGCAAGCCUGACCCAGCAACGCCGCGUGAAGGAAGACGGCUUUCGGGUUGUAAACUUCUUUUAUUGAGGACGAAACAAAUGACGGUACUCAAUGAAUAAGCCACGGCUAACUACGUGGCAGCAGCCGCGGUAAUACGUAGGUGGCAAGCGUUAUCCGGAUUUACUGGGUGUAAAGGGCGUGUAGGGGGGACUGCAAGUCAGAUGUGAAAACCAUGGGCUCAACCCAUGGCCUGCAUUUGAAACUGUAGUUAUUGAGUGAUGGAGAGGCAGGCGGAAUUCCCGGUGUAGCGGUGAAAUGCGUAGAGAUCGGGAGGAACACCAGUGGCGAAGGCGGCCUACUGGGCUUUAACUGACGCUGAGGCACGAAAGCGUGGGUAGCAAACAGGAUUAGAUACCCGUGUAGUC